RNAcentral lists this ribosomal RNA (543 nucleotides) under Tomosvaryella sp. A. Its description in RNAcentral is "partial 16S ribosomal RNA". The record is from RNAcentral. Lineage: Eukaryota; Metazoa; Arthropoda; Insecta; Diptera; Pipunculidae.
CGGUCUGAACUCAGAUCACGUAAGAAAUUAAAAGUCGAACAGACUUAAUAAUUAAGCUACUGCACCUAAUAUUAUAUCUUAAUCCAACAUCGAGGUCGCAAUCUUUAUUAUCAAUAAGAACUUUCCAAAAAAAUUACGCUGUUAUCCCUAAAGUAACUUAAUUUAAUAAUCCAUAAUAAAGGAUCAAAAACUCAUAAAUCAAUGUAAUUAAAAUUAAAAGUUAUUUAAAUUUUAAUAUCUCCCCAAUAAAAUAUAAAUUUUAAUUAUAAUAUAAUAUAUCUAAAUUAUUAAAACUAAAUUCUAUAUAAAGAUUUAUAGGGUCUUCUCGUCUUUCAAAUCAAUUUUAGCUUUUUAACUAAAAAAUAAAAUUCUAUUAUAAAUUUAAUUGAAACAGUUAAUAUUUUAUCCAACCAUUCAUUCCAGCCUUCAAUUAAAAGACUAAUUAUUAUGCUACCUUUGCACAGUUAAUAUACUGCGGCCAUUCAAAAAUUCAGUGGGCAGGCUAGACUUUAAACUUAUUUCUAAAAGACAUGUUUUUGUAAA